Molecule: ribosomal RNA, 506 nt
Filed under: uncultured bacterium
Lineage: Bacteria
Description: partial 16S ribosomal RNA
Rfam family: Bacterial small subunit ribosomal RNA
Source: RNAcentral
AGUGAACGCUGGCAGUAGGCCUAACACAUGCAAGUCGAACGGCAGCACAGAGGAGCUUGCUCCUUGGGUGGCGAGUGGCGGACGGGUGAGGGAUACAUCGGAAUCUACUCUGUCGUGGGGGAUAACGUAGGGAAACUUACGCUAAUACCGCAUACGACCUACGGGUGAAAGCAGGGGACCUUCGGGCCUUGCGCGAUUGAAUGAGCCGAUGUCGGAUUAGCUAGUUGGCGGGGUAAAGGCCCACCAAGGCGACGAUCCGUAGCUGGUCUGAGAGGCUGAUCAGCCACACUGGAACUGAGACACGGUCCAGACUCCUACGGGAGGCAGCAGUGGGGAAUAUUGGACAAUGGGCGCAAGCCUGAUCCAGCCAUACCGCGUGGGUGAAGAAGGCCUUCGGGUUGUAAAGCCCUUUUGUUGGGAAAGAAAUCCAGCUGGCUAAUACCCGGUUGGGAUGACGGUACCCAAAGAAUAAGCACCGGCUAACUUCGUGCCAGCAGCCGCCGUAA